CACUCCUGCGGGAGGCAGCAGUGGGGAAUUUUGGACAAUGGGCGAAAGCCUGAUCCAGCCAUGCCGCGUGCAGGAUGAAGGCCUUCGGGUUGUAAACUGCUUUUGUACGGAACGAAACGGCCUUUUCUAAUAAAGAGGGCUAAUGACGGUACCGUAAGAAUAAGCACCGGCUAACUACGUGCCAGCAGCCGCGGUAAUACGUAGGGUGCAAGCGUUAAUCGGAAUUACUGGGCGUAAAGCGUGCGCAGGCGGUUAUGUAAGACAGUUGUGAAAUCCCCGGGCUCAACCUGGGAACUGCAUCUGUGACUGCAUAGCUAGAGUACGGUAGAGGGGGAUGGAAUUCCGCGUGUAGCAGUGAAAUGCGUAGAUAUGCGGAGGAACACCGAUGGCGAAGGCAAUCCCCUGGACCUGUACUGACGCUCAUGCACGAAAGCGUGGGGAGCAAACAGGAUUAGAAACCCUAGUAGUCCC
This 471-nucleotide ribosomal RNA is filed under the name uncultured organism. Its description in RNAcentral is "partial 16S ribosomal RNA". It matches the Rfam family "Bacterial small subunit ribosomal RNA", at positions 334 to 797 of the family's 1533-position model. The record is from RNAcentral.